Molecule: long non-coding RNA, 768 nt
Organism: Salvia miltiorrhiza (redroot sage)
Lineage: Eukaryota; Viridiplantae; Streptophyta; Magnoliopsida; Lamiales; Lamiaceae
Exons: 2
Source: RefSeq, a predicted model, not a curated record
AAUCAUAGAAAAUGCUUUCCGUUGGUCAUCAUUCAACUUUAACUCUGCAUCUUGAUCUUCCUCAGGAAUUUGUAUCGACAUCUCAUCUUGUAUCUCUCUGGAACAAUUAUUUUCUAUAUUAGCAUCAUAAGAAGGAAUUGUGGGAAGAUCAUAUGAAUUUAUAUCUUUUCCCAUGCUCUCUAACAAAACUCUUAAGCUCAGCAAUGUCUUAGAAACACGUUGUCGGAUUGAAGUAUUGUCAUCCCUUUUAAAAUCUUCAGACAUUGCAUCAAAGUAAGUAUCCCAUAAAACUCUUACAUCUGCCGGUGCACAAUGUACCAAGAUUAUUGCAAACAACCUGCGUUGUUCAUUUGGCAUUUGAAAUGUUAUUGCCUCAUUCAUGCAAUCGAAAAUGCUAUGAUCAGCUUCUAAUAAACUCCUUUUUUGUGCCGCUUCUUUGAAUGUUGAGCAUUCUAUACCAUUAACCGUCAAUAAAUGUCGGAAAGAGAUACCCAUCGUGCAUCUUGAAAUUGUUUGAUUUCAUCAACUUGACGCGGCUCAUCAUCUUGGGUUAUAUGAACGGCCACCCUAUCAUGUCCCUUAUAGAUAUAUUUGUACAAAUACUUAACAGCUGUGAUACCAGAGCAUACCUCGACAUUAAUAUGGCAGUUGUAUCUGGACAAUAGAUGUGCAUUAUAUGGCACAACCCAUUGGUUGUCUAAGUCUGCAUUCCGAACACGUACAAUUGAUCCAUUUUUUCUUCUUCUGUAAAUUGGAUAUCCAUCUUUA